RNAcentral lists this unclassified non-coding RNA (309 nucleotides) under Hevea brasiliensis (rubber tree). Lineage: Eukaryota; Viridiplantae; Streptophyta; Magnoliopsida; Malpighiales; Euphorbiaceae. The record is from RNAcentral.
GCUGAACCUUAAAUCCUUAGUCCUCUAUAUUCAUCGGUUCAGUAACUAGCUCGGGUCUAAAAACAAUGCUUUUGUCACACAUGCUAUUGAUAUCACUUACAUUAUUUUUUUCAUUUUUACUUUUUCACUCAUUCUUCACUAUUUUUCUCCCCUUUCUCUCUUUCAAAUGACAAUUCUUACACAUAACAACAUUAUUAAAAUGUCAUAUCAAUAUUAUUACUGUAGUUUACUUGUCCUUAUCCAUGUUCAUUCACACAACUCAUUGACUAGAUGAAUUUGCAUUUAAUAUAUACAAAAAUAGAAGUUGAG